Trematomus bernacchii (emerald rockcod) is the source of this 498-nucleotide long non-coding RNA. RefSeq lists it as uncharacterized. NCBI's taxonomy places the organism in Eukaryota, Metazoa, Chordata, Actinopteri, Perciformes, Nototheniidae. The transcript is spliced from 5 exons. The record is from RefSeq and is a predicted model, not a curated record.
GGGUCAUCAAUACGUUUUCACUUGGCACAGAGAAGCUGAUGAAAAAGGAUGUGCGAAAAUGUCAAACUGCAGCUGAUAUUUCUCAAGACAGAGGAGGAAAAAAUGAAAACAAAUCUCAACAAACUCAUCCGUGAGCGUAAGAAACGAUCUACAGCAGCCUGACAACAACAAUCGAGGAGACCAUGAAAGAAUGCUAUGACAGAGCAAAAAGAAAUCAGAGGAGAAGGCACGCUGAAAAACAUGAGGGAAACUAUUGAAAUGCAACGUUGAUGGUUCAAAAGAACAUCAUGUUUGCUCAGGCUAAAGACGCCAUGAUGAAACAGCUGAGAGACUUGAUUUUGGAGAUCCUGGAGAAACAGUGUAACAUGAUGCAGGAAUCAAUCGAGCUGUCACUCAAAACAGGAUGGUGUCUCCAUCCCAGAUGUAAGUGUGGAGCUGAGUUGGUAAGAAAUACUACAAUGAACUGACCGGAAGCCCAGAUGAUGAUGCAAUUCUUUG